AGAAGCGAACCUGCGAAGGCAAGCGGAUCUCUUAAAGCCGUCUCAGUUCGGACUGUAGGCUGCAACUCGCCUACACGAAGCUGGAAUCGCUAGUAAUCGCGGAUCAGCACGCCGCGGUGAAUACGUUCCCGGGCCUUGUACACACCGCCCGUCACACCAUGAGAGUCUGUAACACCCAAAGCCGGUGGGAUAACCUUUAUAGGAGUCAGCCGUCUAAGGUAGGACAGAUGAUUAGGGUGAAGUCGUAACAAGGUAAC
Molecule: ribosomal RNA, 257 nt
Filed under: uncultured bacterium
Lineage: Bacteria
Description: partial 16S ribosomal RNA
Rfam family: Bacterial small subunit ribosomal RNA
Source: RNAcentral